Molecule: ribosomal RNA, 497 nt
Filed under: uncultured bacterium
Lineage: Bacteria
Description: partial 16S ribosomal RNA
Rfam family: Bacterial small subunit ribosomal RNA
Source: RNAcentral
GAUGAACGCUGGCGGCGUGCCUAAUACAUGCAAGUCGAGCGAACAGACGAGGAGCAUGCUCCUCUGACGUUAGCGGCGGACGGGUGAGUAACACGUGGAUAACCUACCUAUAAGACUGGGAUAACUUCGGGAAACCGGAGCUAAUACCGGAUAAUAUAUUGAACCGCAUGGUUCAAUAGUGAAAGACGGUUUUGCUGUCACUUAUAGAUGGAUCCGCGCCGCAUUAGCUAGUUGGUAAGGUAACGGCUUACCAAGGCAACGAUGCGUAGCCGACCUGAGAGGGUGAUCGGCCACACUGGAACUGAGACACGGUCCAGACUCCUACGGGAGGCAGCAGUAGGGAAUCUUCCGCAAUGGGCGAAAGCUUGACGGAGCAACGCCGCGUGAGUGAUGAAGGUCUUCGGAUCGUAAAACUCUGUUAUUAGGGAAGAACAAAUGUGUAAGUAACUAUGCACGUCUUGACGGUACCUAAUCAGAAAGCCACGGCUAACUACGUG